Cornus florida is the source of this 1974-nucleotide long non-coding RNA. RefSeq lists it as uncharacterized. The record is from RefSeq and is a predicted model, not a curated record. NCBI's taxonomy places the organism in Eukaryota, Viridiplantae, Streptophyta, Magnoliopsida, Cornales, Cornaceae. The transcript is spliced from 4 exons.
GGGGACAUCCGAUAAAAUUGGAACGAUACAGAGAAGAUUAGCAUGGCCCCUGCGCAAGGAUGACACGCACAAAUCGAGAAAUGGUCCAAAUUUUUUUCUUACCCAUUUUGCCCACGACUUCUGUAUCUGAUUUUACCAAAACACCCACGUAAAUCGUCACUUUCCCACACUACCCCUGACAUCUUUCGACGUGUCUUCUCCUCCCCCUUUGAGACUCACCGUAAGCUUAUAGUGGAGCUCCUCCCUCUGUAAUUCCUCUUCCUUCGUCUCCGCGUUCCCCUACCAAUUUCAGUAACUCCUCUCUCUCUAUAUAUAUAUACAGACACAAAGCUGAUGACAAGAAGUCUUGGGGUUUACAUAUCUGUGAUUGAUUUGUUUUCUUAUGGUGUUAUUGUUAGCAUUUUGCCCAAAGGGUUCGUUCCUUGUUUGCUAGACAAGCGUGUUCUUUAUAAAUGUUGAUAUAUAUGAUGCUAUCAGAUUGAAGGUUAUUAAUCAGGCCAAUUGCCAAUGUGAGUGAAUGGAAUGGAUUGCUUCGAUUGGUGUAGCAGCCGCUACAGCAUAUUAUGUAUCUAUUAGAGACAGUGAAACUAGAUUAUGAUGAGUUCAAUUAUUGUGGGGAGCUGAUGUAUAUUUGGAGAGGGUUUCUCGGGGAAGAAUGAGAUUUGGUUUUUGGUAUUUCACAUCAAGGACUGCAAGAGAGACCUACAGUUGGUUGUUAGUACCAAUGUGUAUCUAUUCCAUUUUGGGCCACUUUAGGCUUUCAGCUGAAACACAUAGUUCUGGCUGAGAACUCAAUGGUAGAUUUUUGUGUCAUUGGUAUGAUUAUUCUGGUCUGGUCUUUCAUUUAAGGAACUGGAGUUUAUUUUAUUGUAUAACCAGCAGGGGUUUAUGGUCAGCAUGUCCUCAUGGAAGAGAGGGGUUUCACGGACAGAAGCUUGAGAAGAGGGAACAGAACCCUUGUGGUAGGGAGCCGGGGAUUAACAAGACUCCUAGCAUAAGGAGUUCCUAAUAUGCAUCAUGACCAUUGCAUCCUUCUAAAAUCAAAAUAAUGACAUUUUCCGGUCAACUGUCUCUCAAUUUGUAUGGAUAAUGAUCCUAUUUGCUCAAGCUCAGUAAGCUUAACUAGUUGUCCAACUAUGCCACUAUUUUAUCAUUGGAUGGAUGAUUUUUACGUUCAUAUUUCCAUGCAUUAUGCUUUCUCAACUCUACUUACCUAAAAGUAUAUGCAUUAUAUUUAUUUAUGAAGUAGUUUCUCUAUUUUCAACCUCUAUGGCUUGGGAAUCCUCAUUCAGGCACUACUAGUUGUUAUGAAUUGUCAUAGAUUUUCAGUUUUCCUGAUCAGACUGCACAAAUGGUAUUGGUUGACAUGGUUGUGUGAUUAAGUUAUUUGAUCUAAUGGUCAUUCCGCCCUAGAUUUCCCAAACCAAAUGUCAGAGACUUUUGAGGUGCUCAUGAUACUGCUGAAAAUUGCUCACCUUGUCAUGUUAUUUUUCCUUCUACCUCAUGCUUUUGCAUGAUUGGUUUGCUGGGCAUGUUAUGCUUCUGGCCGAAUACACAAGCAUACAUUGCAUGUUUGUGUAAAUAGAAUGAGACUCUCCAUCUGAAACAGGAUAGCAAGAGUUAUCUAUGGCGAAUACACCAUAUAUUUUUAAAAUUUUCCUUUCCUUGGUUAGUAGUUGGUCAGCAAUUUCAGUAUAUAGAACAAUUUGCUAAUUGUGUGCAGUUCAGUGCUGACAGCUGACGAGGCAUCUAAAUCAGUCCAGGAAUCAAUUUUCGACAAUAAAACCUUGGGAAGGAAACUUUGAAAUUGUUGAAAGAGUCUAUUGUGCAAGUGUUGUAUGUUCAAUUAUAAUGAUGCAAGCAUCUAACUCAGUGCUGCAUUUUUCUAUCCAGCAACUGUUAUCUUCCUCUUUCGUUUAGAGCAUAAAUAAAUUAGAUUAUAUAACACUGUUCUCUUUUAUGCAAGUGUGACAU